Molecule: unclassified non-coding RNA, 137 nt
Filed under: uncultured Arachnopeziza
Lineage: Eukaryota; Fungi; Ascomycota; Leotiomycetes; Helotiales; Hyaloscyphaceae
Description: sequence contains ITS2
Source: RNAcentral
UGACCAAUCACGCAAGUGGUGUUGGGGCCUGCCGUCGGCAGCCCUUAAAAGCAGUGGCAGUGCUAUAGGCUCUCAGCGCAGUAAUUCUUCCGCUCUCGAGUCCUAGAACCACCCGCCAAAACCCCAAUCUUUCUUAA